UCACGGACUAUCUACAAAUACUACAAACAGUGGUCUGAAGGAAAAUAAUAUAGAUCUGUCUCUGAAAUACAUAAAAACAAAAUGAAAAGAUAGAAGGGGACACCAAGGCCUGCGGACGCCUGCAGGACUACCUCGGGUCUCCUGAUGGACUGAAGGCAACAACCUCACUGUGGUCCAAAAGCUCCAGCACCAGGAUCUGCACAUAGUGUAGAGUGUAGUAUCAACACAACUGACCCCAUGUGUUAGUAAGUAUCAAGUCUAACCUCGGCGAAGUAGUGAUGAGUCUAGGACAAGACUACCAAAUAAACCUGUGCAGUUAUAUCAUAUACAACAAGCAAUAAUGACAGAAUCUAGCAGUUAUGGAUGGCGAGGGGAAACAUGCUCGGGGGAAUAGUACAAACAGGAAUUCAGUAAAGAAGCAUACGGAGCACCAAAAUUCAACUAUAAGCAAGAAUAAGGAAAACAAUCACAAGUGCAUGACAUCACCUUUCGUGCUUUUACUCUCGUUCGCACCAUAAGAAUCAAUAUAAUCGGCACGGCAUCAUCCUUCAUGCUUUUACCUCACAUAAUCAUGGCAUGACAUUAUCCUUCGUGCAUUAUCACUCAUAUCAUGACACGACAUCACCCUUCGUGCUUUUACAUUUACAAUAUCGGCACGACAUCACUCUUUGUGUAUUAACACUCACUCACGAAUAUCAUGUACGGUAUCACCCUUUGUGCUUUUACACUCAUCCAUACCCAAGCAACAAUCACAAAGCAAUUCGGGCAAGGGAAUCAAUAAAAUCACAAUAGGAUCCCGGCAAGGGAACAAUAGUAUAACAAUAAUAUCCCGGCAAGGGAAACAAUAUCAUGAGCAAUAACAUCCUGGCAAGGGAAAAAAUAUCAAAAGCAAUAACAUCCCGGCAAGGGAAAUAAUAUCAAAAGUAAUAACAUCCCGUCAAGGGAGAUAAUAUCAUAAAUCUCUUCUCUUUUCCACAAAUUACUUCAAAACUCAAUUCUCAACUUGAGCCAAUGCUCUACAAUGUGCAAUUACCAAGAAUACUUCCACAAGCCAUGUUCAACAUUAUAAAUCAUCAUAUUAAGCAUGGAUAAUACAAACGGAGUCACAUCAAUCAUAGUAUAAGACUCACGGGCAUGUUUGACACCGACGUAUAGAUACUCGUCACCAUACCUAUAAGUCGUACUCAACAAUUAAUACAUAGCAAAUAAGACACAACUCCUAAUCCCUCGAGCUAAGGUUAGACCAAACACUUACCUCAAUGUCACAAAUACAAUCAAGCCUCAACUACCUCUUACCCCUCGAUUCCACCACCAAUUCGCUUGUAUCUAGCCACAAUUUACUUAACAAUAUCAAUAAAUGCUAAAUGAAUCAAUUCUAAUGCAUGAAAAUAGGUUUUCUAAUUAUUUCCCCUACAAGUCAAAAAUAGACCCCGGGCCCACAUGGUCAAAACUCGAGGUUCGAACCAAAACCCGAUUACCCAUUCACCCACGAAGUCAAGUAUAUAUUUUGUUUUGAAAACAGACCUCAAAUCGAGGUCCAAAUCUCCAAAAUUUGAAAAUCCUAAGUUCUAUCCAAAAUCAUCAAAUUCCCCAUUAAAAACCCUUGAUUUUGAAUUGAAAUCAUGUGAAAAGAUAUUAUGGAUUAAAGAAAAUGAGUUAGAAAUGACUUACUAUUGAUUUGGAGAAGUUGAUGCCUUUGAAAAAUCGCCCAAGAUGUUUUUUGGGUUUGAAGAGUUGUAAAAAUGAAUGAAAUCCCGUCAAAAUCCCAAUUAAAUGGUCGUAGAUGUCGCAAUUGCAAUGGGAUGCGAAGCUCGCAAAUGCAAACCAGGCCUCACAUUUGCGAACCUGUGCAUGGUUUGCUUACCUCGCAACUGCGAAUGAAUCGUCGCAAUUGCAAUACUGUCCCUCCACUGAUGACUUCGCAUUUGCGAAGGAAGGUUCACAAUUGCGAACACUGGCAGGCCUGGGCUUUCUUCACAAAUGCGAUCAAGCCCUCACAAUUGCCAAGCCUGUUGGGCUCGCAAUUGUGAAGCCUGACCUCGCAAUUGUGAGAUCAGAGCCUGCAACACAACUGAACCUGCAACAGCCUUUUCUCUAAGUCCAAACUCACUUCGUGGCCUAUCCAAAACUCACCUGAGCCCUCGGGGCUCCAAACCAAAGCACACAAGUCCAAAAACAUCAUACGGACUUGCUCGUGCGAUCAAAUCAUCAAAAUAACAUCAACAACUAUGAAUUAAACCUCAAAUAUAUGAAAUCACUCAAGAACAUCAAAAUUCUCAUUUUCUCAAUUAAAGGUCCGAUUUAUACUAAACGAACUCCGAUUCUUACCAAACUUCACAAAUUCAACUUAAUUAUUAUAUAAGACAUGUAUCGGGCUCCGGAACCAAAAUACAGGCCCGAUACCAACAAUAUCAAACAUCUUUUCCUUUCUAAAAAAUCUUAUAAUUUCAGUUAAAUAAUUUCUUUCAAAAAUUUAUUUCUCGGGCUUGGGACCACGGAAUUCGAUUCCGAGCAUACGCCCAAGUCCCAUAUUUUACUACGGACCCUAUGAGACCAUCGGAUCACGGGUCCGAGUCCGUUUACCAAGAAUAUUGACCAAAGUCAGCUUUAAUCAAUUUUAAAGGCCCAUUUUCCUUAUUUUACUUAGUUUUCACAUUCAAGCUUUCCGAAAACGCGCUCGGACUGUGCACGUAAAUUGAGGUAAGACAAAAAGAGGUUUUUAAGGCCUCGAAACACAAAAUUUACUUUCAAAACAAGUGAUGAUCUUUUGGGUCAUCACAUUCUCCACUUCUAAAACAACCAUUCGUCCUCGAACAGACAUAAGAAAAGUACCUGAGUCGGAGACAAGAUGGGGAUAUCGGCUCCGCAUAUCGGGGUCGGACUCCCAAGUAGCUGCCUCGGUAGGCUAACCUGUCCACUAAACACGAACAAAAGGGAAACUCUUCGAUCUCAACUGACGAACCUGCGGGUCUAGAAUAACUACCGGCUCCUCCUCAUAGGACAAGUCCUUGUCCAACUAGACGGUGUUAAAGUCUAACAGGUAGGAUGGAUCGUCCUGAUACUUCCGAAGCAUGGACACAUGAAACACUAGAUGCACGGCUGAAAAACUCGGCGGCAACGCAAGUCUGUAAACCACCUCUCUCACUCAAUCAAGAAUCUUAAAAGGACCAACGAAUCUAGGGCUUAGCUUGCCCUUCUUUCCAAAUCUCAUCACGCCAUUCAUAGGCGACCAUGAAUGCCACGUCACGAUCCUUACAGUCGACAUAACUCUUUUACCUUGACUGAGCUGUACAAAGCCUAUCCGGAAUGAUCUUAACCUUGUCUAUGGCAUCCUGUACCAGAUCUGUACCCAACAAUCGAGCCUCUCCCGGCUCCAACCACCCAACCGGUGACCGACACUGCCUACCAUAUAAAGCCUCAUAGGGAGCCAUCUGGAUGCUUGAUUGGUAGUUGUUGUUGUAGGCAAACUUUGCUAAAGGCAAAAACUGAUCCCACGAACCUCCAAAGUCAAUAACACAAACUCAGAGCAUAUCCUCCAAAAUUUGAAUAGUACGAUCAGACUGCCCGUCCAUCUGAGGAUGAAAUGUUGUGCUCAACUCAACCCAUGUGCCCAACUCAUGCUGAACUACCUUCCAGAAAUGCGAGUUAAACUGCAUACCUCGGUCUGAAAUGAUAGACACGGGUACACCAUGAAGAUGAACAAUCUCCUGAAUAUAGAUCUCGGCUAACCUCUCAAAAGAGUAGAAAACUGCCAUAGGAAUACAAUGUGCUGACUUGGUUAUCCUAUCAAUAAUAACUCAAACUAUAUCAAACUUUUUCUGAGUCUUUGGGAGUCCAACAACGAAGUCCAUAGUGAUACGCUCCCACUUUCACUCAUGAAUCUAAAUCUUCUGGAACAAACCACCAGGUCUUUGAUGCUCGUACUUUACCUACUAACAAUUCAAACACUGAGCCACGUAUGCAACAAUAUCUUUCUUCGUCCUCCUCCACCAAUAAUGCUGCUCAAAUCCUGAUACAUCUUAGCAAGCAUCCGGAUGAAUAGAGUACCGAGAACUAUGGGCCUCUUCUAAAAUCAACUCUCAAAAUCCAUCCACAUUAGGAACACAAAGUCAACCCUACAUCCUUAAAACUCCAUCAUCUCCCACUGUGACUUGCUUGGCACCUCUGUGUCGCACUGUGUCUCUAAGGACAAGCAAAUGAGGAUCGUCAUACUACCGAUCUUGGAUACGCUCAAAUAAUGAAGAACGAGCAACUGUACAAGCUAACAUAUGGCUGGGCUCAGAAACAUCCAACCCCACGAACUGAUUGGCCAAAGCCUGAAGAUCCAAAGCAAGCGGUCUCUCAUCGACUAGAAUAUACGCAAGACUGCCCACACUGGCUAACUUUCUAUUCAAAGCAUCGGCCACCACAUUGGCCUUCCCCGGAUGAUAUAAAAUGGUAAUAUCAUAGUCUUUCAAUAGCUCUUACCACCUCCUCUACCUCAAAUUUAGCUCCUUCUGCUUGAACAACUACUGUAGACUCUUGUGAUCCGUAAACACCUCACACGACACGCCAUAUAAAUAGUGCCUCCUUCAGUGCGUGAACAAUGGCUGCUAACUCCAAAUUAUGAACUGGAUAAUUCUUCUCAUGAAUCUUCAACUAUCGCGAAGCAUAAGCAAUGACUUUACCAUCCUGCAUCAAUACCGCACCAAGUCCAAUACGAUAUGCAUCACAAUAAACUAUAUAUGGCCCUGAACCUGUAAGUAAUACCAACACCGGUGUCGUAGUUAAAGCUGUCUUGAGCUUCUGAAAGCUCGCCUCACACUCAUCCGACCACCUGAACUAGGAACCCUUCUGGGUCAACCUGGUAAUCGGGGCUGCAAUAGAUGAAAACCCCUCUACAAACCGAUGGUAAUCGCCUGCCAAACCCAAGAAACUCUGAAUAUCUAUAAUUGAUGCGAGUCUAGGCCAGUUCUUUACUGCCUCUAACUUCUUCGGAUCCACCUGAAUACCCUCUGUUGAAACAACAUGAUCCAAGAAUGCAACUGAGCUCAACCAGAACUUACACUUUGAAAACUUAGCAUACAACUGACUAUCUCUCAAAGUCUGAAGAACAAGUCUCAGAUGCUACUCAUGCUCCUCCCGACUGCGGGGGUAGAUCAAAAUAUCAUCAAUCACGAAUGAAUCCAAGUAAGGGUUGAACUCUCGGUUUAUCAAAUCCAUGAAAGUUGUUGGGGAAUUUGUCAACCCGAAUGACAUCACCAAAAACUCAUAAUGCCCAUACCGAGUGCGAAAAGCUGUCUUAGGGAUAUCAGAUGCCCUAAUCCUCAAUUGAUGUUAGCCAGAUCUCAAGUCAAUCUUCAAAAAUACCUUGGCAACCUGAAGCUGAUCAAAAAAAUCAUCAAUUCUCGACAAUGGAUACUAAUUCUUGAUUGUGACCUUGUUCAACUACCGAUAAUCUAUACACAUCCUCAUCGAUCUGUCCUUCUUCUUGACAAACAACACCGGUGCACCCCAAGGUGAGACUCUAGGUCUAAUAAAGCCCUUAUCAAGCAAGUCUUGCAACUGCUCCUUCAAUUCUUCAGCUCAGGUGGGGCCAUACGAUACGACGGGAUAGAAAUGGGCUGAGUGCCCAUAGCUAAAUCAAUGCAAAACUCAAUAUUCAUGUCAGGUGGCAUACCUAGUAGGUCUGAAGGAAAUACCUCAAGAAACUCACGAACAACAGGAACAGAAUCCAUAGAAGGAACCUCAGCACUAGAAUCACGAACAUAUGCUAAAUAAGACAAAUACCCCUUCUCGACCAUAUGCUGAGCCUUCAUGUAUGAGAUAACCCUACGGGUAAAAUGACCAGGAGUCCCUCUCCACUCUAAACGAGGUAAACCCAACAAAGCUAAGGUCAUAGUCUUGGCAUGAUAAUCCAAGAUAGCGAGGUAAGGUAAUAACCAUUCCAUCCCCAAUAUGACAUCAAAAUCAACCAUGUCCAAAAGUAAUAAAUCUACUCGAGUCUCAAGACCCUCAAUCACAACUAUACAUAGACACAAUCUACCACAAUAGAAUUACCCACCGGUGUAGACACAUAUACAGGAGCAUUCAAGGAAUCAUUAGGUAUGACCAAAUACGGUGUAAAAUAAGAUGACACAUAGGAGUAUGUAGAUCCUAGAUCAAAUAGAACUGAAGCAUCUCUACUACAAACCAGAAUCGUACCUGUGAUAACUGCAUCGGAGACCUCAGCCUCAAGCCGAGCUGGAAGAGCACAACAUCAGGGCUGGGCCCCACCAUUCUGAACUACAUCUCUGGGACGACCUCCUGUUGGAUGGCCUCCACCUCUAGCGGCCUGACCUCAACCUCUAAUACCUCUACCUCCACCUCUAGCACAUCUACCUCCACCUCUAGCUGGCUGAAAGAUAAAAAUCAAAUUGAAAUCAAAUAGAUCUCAACUUCCAUUAACAAACUUAUUCACUCAAAACCAUUUAAUAGCUCACCUCUUUUUAUUUACGAAAGCUAUCAAAAUUUCCAAGAUACGUAAUAAUAAUAAAAUAAGACGAGGAGUUAUACAUAAUAAUUAAAGCAUGGACUUCGCACAUGUACACUUAAACGUCCUUUUGAAAUUAAGAUCAACAGAAGACUAUGUAGAAUCAAUAAAAAUCAACUCAAAAUAACUAAGCAAAAAUCCAAUAAAGUAGUAUAGGCUGAUAAUGAAAAAAUCAAAGAUAAAGUAAGAAGAGAACCUCAAAACCGAGCCAAAACCAAUGAUUUCGAUUGAACAAUAAAAUCUCUGCGUAAAGUAGUACGACAAUUGUAUUGUUCGAAUAAGAGCGACAUCUAAAACUUGAAAAAAUUAAAGGACCUCCGUCGUAGCUCGAACGGAAAACCCGACUGACCUUGCCGACUCGAUCUCAAAACUACCCAUAUGACCUUGACGCUAAACCCGGCAUAAGAGUACUACUGUUUUAUGAAAAAGGAGACUGUUUUAAAGUGUUUUAAAUGGGGUUUUUCGGAGUUGGUUCAGCUCCAUUUUUCAGGGUGGUUUCAGCUGUGGCUUUUGAGUGAUUUUGGACCUGGUUUUUAGCUGAAAUUUGUUGCAUUUUUUGGGUGUAAUUUGUUGGAGUUUUGUGUUGUUCGGCAGCUAUUUUCUGGGUGAUGUUAUGCAGCUAUGUUUGCUGUGAUAUCGGUUGGUUUGAGCAGAUUUUAGAUCAUGUUUUGGGGAUGGUUCUCUUGGUUCAGCCAAUGAAAAAGCUAAGGGUCUCUUUUCUUAGGCUGAAGAAGAGGGGUGUGUCGAGGAAGAUGAUGUUCGGGGGGUGG
RNAcentral lists this long non-coding RNA (7281 nucleotides) under Nicotiana tabacum (common tobacco). RNAcentral's name for it is "long non-coding RNA (NTAB_LNC017490)". The record is from RNAcentral. Lineage: Eukaryota; Viridiplantae; Streptophyta; Magnoliopsida; Solanales; Solanaceae.